Molecule: ribosomal RNA, 500 nt
Filed under: uncultured Glomus
Lineage: Eukaryota; Fungi; Glomeromycota; Glomeromycetes; Glomerales; Glomeraceae
Description: SSU rRNA
Rfam family: Eukaryotic small subunit ribosomal RNA
Source: RNAcentral
CCAAUAGCGUAUAUUAAAGUUGUUGCAGUUAAAAAGCUCGUAGUUGAAUUUCGGGGUUAGCAAGUUGGUCGUGCCUUCGGUAUGCACUGGCUUUGCUGAUUCCUCCUUCUUGAAGAACUGUGAUGCUAUUAAUUUGGUGUUGCAGGGAAACAGGACUGUUACUUUGAAAAAAUUAGAGUGUUUAAAGCAGGCUAACGCUUGAAUACAUUAGCAUGGAAUAAUGAAAUAGGACGUUUGAUCCUAUUUUGUUGGUUUCUAGGAUUGACGUAAUGAUUAAUAGGGAUAGUUGGGGGCAUUAGUAUUCAAUUGUCAGAGGUGAAAUUCUUGGAUUUAUUGAAGACUAACUACUGCGAAAGCAUUUGCCAAGGAUGUUUUCAUUAAUCAAGAACGAAAGUUAGGGGAUCGAAGACGAUCAGAUACCGUCGUAGUCUUAACCAUAAACUAUGCCGACUAGGGAUCGGAUGAUGUUAAUUUUUUAAUGACUCAUUCGGCGCCUUACG